UCCAUGUGGCUCCUUACAGAUGACGUGGGU
RNAcentral lists this non-coding RNA (30 nucleotides) under Rattus norvegicus (Norway rat). The record is from RNAcentral. Lineage: Eukaryota; Metazoa; Chordata; Mammalia; Rodentia; Muridae.